RNAcentral lists this ribosomal RNA (236 nucleotides) under uncultured Candidatus Saccharibacteria bacterium. Its description in RNAcentral is "partial 16S ribosomal RNA". It matches the Rfam family "Bacterial small subunit ribosomal RNA", at positions 584 to 818 of the family's 1533-position model. The record is from RNAcentral. Lineage: Bacteria; Candidatus Saccharimonadota.
UAAGUAGAUAGUGAAAGCGUCUCGCUCAACGGGAUACACAUUAUCUAAACUGCUUUGGCUAGAGAACGAGAGAGGUUAUUGGAAUUUCCAGUGUAGGAGUGAAAUCCGUAGAUAUUGGGAGGAACACCGAUGGCGUAGGCAGAUAACUGGCUCGUUUCUGACACUAAGGCACGAAAGCGUGGGGAGCAAACGGGAUUAGAUACCCCGGUAGUCCACGCCGUAAACUAUGGAUGCUA